GAUGAAGAACGUAGCGAAAUGCGAUACUUGGUGUGAAUUGCAGAAUCCCGUGAACCAUCGAGUCUUUGAACGCAAGUUGCGCCCGAAGCCAUUAGGCCGAGGGCACGCCUGCCUGGGCGUCACACGUCGUUGCCCCCCCCAUCUACUCCUUCGGGAUUGCGGGGGGCGGAUGAUGGCCUCCCGUGCGCCUCGCCGCGCGGUUGGCAUAAAUGCCAAGUCCUCGGCGAUGCACGCCACGACAAUCGGUGGUUGCGAAACCUCGGUUGCCCGUCGUGUGCGGUCGUCGCGCAUCGAGGGCUCGAAAAAAUUGCCGGGUUCCGGCUCGGCUUUCAACGCGACCCCAGGUCAGGCGGGGUUACCCGCUGAAUUUAAGCAUAUCAAUAACGGAGGA
Molecule: unclassified non-coding RNA, 391 nt
Filed under: soil metagenome
Description: partial contains 5.8S ribosomal RNA, internal transcribed spacer 2, and large subunit ribosomal RNA
Rfam family: 5.8S ribosomal RNA (bases 1-122)
Source: RNAcentral